This 550-nucleotide ribosomal RNA is filed under the name Staphylococcus aureus. RNAcentral's name for it is "bacterial SSU rRNA". It matches the Rfam family "Bacterial small subunit ribosomal RNA", at positions 269 to 811 of the family's 1533-position model. The record is from RNAcentral. Lineage: Bacteria; Bacillati; Bacillota; Bacilli; Caryophanales; Staphylococcaceae.
CAAGGCAACGAUGCAUAGCCGACCUGAGAGGGUGAUCGGCCACACUGGAACUGAGACACGGUCCAGACUCCUACGGGAGGCAGCAGUAGGGAAUCUUCCGCAAUGGGCGAAAGCCUGACGGAGCAACGCCGCGUGAGUGAUGAAGGUCUUCGGAUCGUAAAACUCUGUUAUUAGGGAAGAACAUAUGUGUAAGUAACUGUGCACAUCUUGACGGUACCUAAUCAGAAAGCCACGGCUAACUACGUGCCAGCAGCCGCGGUAAUACGUAGGUGGCAAGCGUUAUCCGGAAUUAUUGGGCGUAAAGCGCGCGUAGGCGGUUUUUUAAGUCUGAUGUGAAAGCCCACGGCUCAACCGUGGAGGGUCAUUGGAAACUGGAAAACUUGAGUGCAGAAGAGGAAAGUGGAAUUCCAUGUGUAGCGGUGAAAUGCGCAGAGAUAUGGAGGAACACCAGUGGCGAAGGCGACUUUCUGGUCUGUAACUGACGCUGAUGUGCGAAAGCGUGGGGAUCAAACAGGAUUAGAUACCCUGGUAGUCCACGCCGUAAACGAUG